RNAcentral lists this ribosomal RNA (255 nucleotides) under uncultured bacterium. Its description in RNAcentral is "partial 16S ribosomal RNA". It matches the Rfam family "Bacterial small subunit ribosomal RNA", at positions 524 to 776 of the family's 1533-position model. The record is from RNAcentral.
GACGGGGGGGGCAAGUGUUCUUCGGAAUGACUGGGCGUAAAGGGCGCGUAGGCGGCCAGGCAAGUCGGCUUUGUGAAAGCCCGGGGCUCAACCCCGGAGGUGCGGCCGGGACUGCUUGGCUGGAGGCCGGAAGAGGAGGGUGGAAUACCCAGUGUAGAGGUGAAAUUCGUAGAUAUUGGGUGGAACACCGGUGGCGAAAGCGGCUCUCUGGUCCGGACCUGACGCUGAGGCGCGAAAGCGUGGGGAGCAAACAGG